CAAUAGCGUAUAUUUAAGUUGUUGCAGUUAAAAAGCUCGUAGUUGGAUUUCGGAUGGGAUUUGCCGGUCCGUCGUUACGAUGUGCACUGGCCAGUCCUAUCUUGUUGUCGGGGACUAGCUCCUUGGAUUCACUUCCUGGGACUAGGAGCUGACGAGGUUACUUUGAGUAAAUUAGAGUGUUCAAAGCAAGCCUACGCUCUGAAUACAUUAGCAUGGAAUAACACGAUAGGACUCUGGCUUAUCUUGUUGGUCUGUGAGACCAGAGUAAUGAUUAAGAGGGACAGUCGGGGACAUUCGUAUUUCAUUGUCAGAGGUGAAAUUCUUGGAUUUAUGAAGGACGAACUUCUGCGAAAGCAUUUGUCAAGGAUGUUUUCAUUAA
Molecule: ribosomal RNA, 379 nt
Filed under: uncultured eukaryote
Lineage: Eukaryota
Description: partial 18S ribosomal RNA
Rfam family: Eukaryotic small subunit ribosomal RNA
Source: RNAcentral